RNAcentral lists this ribosomal RNA (253 nucleotides) under uncultured bacterium. RNAcentral describes it as "partial 16S ribosomal RNA". It matches the Rfam family "Bacterial small subunit ribosomal RNA", at positions 524 to 776 of the family's 1533-position model. The record is from RNAcentral.
UACGUAGGCAGCAAGCGUUGUCCGGAGUUACUGGGCGUAAAGGGUGCGUAGGCGGCUUCUUAAGUCUGGUGUGAAAUCUCCCGGCUCAACUGGGAGGGUGCGCCGGAUACUGAGGGGCUAGAGUGUGGGAGAGGAAAGUGGAAUUCCUGGUGUAGCGGUGAAAUGCGUAGAUAUCGGGAAGAACACCCGUGGCGAAAGCGGCUCACUGGACCACAACUGACGCUGAGGCGCGAAAGCUAGGGGAGCAAACAGG